UACGUAGGGUGCGAGCGUUAAUCGGAAUUACUGGGCGUAAAGCGUACGCAGGCGGCUAUGCAAGACAGGUGUGAAAUCCCCGGGCUUAACCUGGGAAUGGCGUUUGGGACUGGGAGUCUGGAGUACGGCAGAGGAGACUGGAAUUCCUGGUGUAGCAGUGAAAUGCGUAGAUAUCAGGAGGAACACCGAUGGCGAAGGCAGGUCUCUGGGCUGAUACUGACGCUCAUGCACGAAAGCGUGGGGAGCAAACAGG
Molecule: ribosomal RNA, 253 nt
Filed under: uncultured bacterium
Lineage: Bacteria
Description: partial 16S ribosomal RNA
Rfam family: Bacterial small subunit ribosomal RNA
Source: RNAcentral